RNAcentral lists this ribosomal RNA (520 nucleotides) under uncultured archaeon. RNAcentral describes it as "bacterial SSU rRNA". It matches the Rfam family "Archaeal small subunit ribosomal RNA", at positions 348 to 875 of the family's 1478-position model. The record is from RNAcentral.
CCCCCAAAGGCCCCAAGGKGCAAGGGGGCUCCCCAAAGGGCUCCAACGGAGCUGGGGUGAAGGAGUAAGGUUCCCCCUUAAAAGGGAGAGGGCAGGGCUGGUGCCAGCCGCCGCCCCCAAACAAGCUCUUCAAGUGGUCGGGAUAAUUAUUGGGCUUAAAGUGUCCGUAGCUGGUAGAGUAAGUUCCUGGUCAAAUUGGGCAGCUUAACUGUCCUUAUGCUAGGAAUACUCCUCUACUAGAGGGCGGGAGAAGUCUGAGGUACUACAGGGGUAGGGGUGAAAUCUUAUAAUCCUUGUAGGACCACCAGUGGCGAAAGCGUCAGACCGGAACGCGCCUGACAGUGAGGGACGAAAGCCAGGGGAGCGAACCGGAUUAGAUACCCGGGUAGUCCUGGCCGUAAACGAUGCGCACUAGGUGAUGGUGCGGCUAUGAGCCGCAUCAGUGUCGUAGGGAAACCGUUAAGUGUGCCGCCUGGGAAGUACGGUCGCAAGGCUUAAACUUAAAGGAAUUGGCGGGGGA